RNAcentral lists this ribosomal RNA (397 nucleotides) under uncultured bacterium. Its description in RNAcentral is "partial 16S ribosomal RNA". It matches the Rfam family "Bacterial small subunit ribosomal RNA", at positions 338 to 732 of the family's 1533-position model. The record is from RNAcentral.
CCUACGGGAGGCAGCAGUGAGGAAUAUUGGUCAAUGGACGAGAGUCUGAACCAGCCAAGUAGCGUGAAGGAUGACUGCCCUAUGGGUUGUAACCUUCUUUUAUAAAGGAAUAAAACGAGGCACGUGUGCCUUUUUGCAUGUACUUUAUCAAUAAGGAUCGGCUAACUCCGUGCCAGCAGCCUCGGUAAUACGGAGGGUACGAGCGUUAUCCGGAUUUAUUGGGUUUAAAGGGAGCGUAGAGUGGUUGUUAAGUCAGGUGUGAAAGUUUGCGGCUCAACCGUAAAAUUGCAAUUGAUACUGGCAGUCUUGAGUACAGUUGAGGUAGGCGGAAUUCGUGGUGUAGCGGUGAAAUGCUUAGAUAUCACGAAGAACCCCGAUUGCGAAGGCAGCUUACUAA